This 77-nucleotide transfer RNA is filed under the name Pteropus alecto (black flying fox). It matches the Rfam family "tRNA". Rfam says of the family: Transfer RNA (tRNA) molecules are approximately 80 nucleotides in length. The record is from Rfam by way of RNAcentral. Lineage: Eukaryota; Metazoa; Chordata; Mammalia; Chiroptera; Pteropodidae.
GGCUGCAUAGUGUAGUGGUGGUUAGCACAUCUGCUUUGCAUGCAGAAGGUCCUGGGUUCAUGCCCCAGGUGGAGCCA